RNAcentral lists this ribosomal RNA (2003 nucleotides) under metagenome. RNAcentral describes it as "bacterial LSU rRNA". It matches the Rfam family "Bacterial large subunit ribosomal RNA", at positions 1 to 1977 of the family's 2925-position model. The record is from RNAcentral.
GUCAGGUAGUAAGGGCGCAGGGCGGAUGCCUUGGCUCUGGGAAGCGAAGAAGGACGUGGCCAGCUGCGAUAAGCCUCGGGGAAGAGCAAACAUCUUUUGAUCCGGGGAUUUCCGAAUGGGGUAACCCGCAUGGCUGUUGAGGCCAUGCACUGUUGAGUGAAUACAUAGCUCAUCAGGGCGAACUUGGGGAACUGAAACAUCUCAGUACCCAAAGGAAUAGAAAUCAACCGAGAUUCUGCUAGUAGCGGCGAGCGAACGCGGAAGAGCCCAAACCACCGGGUACGCCCGGUGGGGUUGUAGGGCCGCCAACAAAGGAUAAUUGGAGGAUUAGCUGAAGUGUCUGGGAAGGCACGGCAUAGAGGGUUAGACCCCCGUAAGCGAAAGUCUGAAGAUGUCCGAGGCGGUACCUGAGUAGGACGGGACACGAGAAAUCCUGUUUGAAUCUGGGGGGACCACCCUCCAAGGCUAAAUAUUACCCAGAGACCGAUAGUGUACCAGUACCGUGAGGGAAAGGUGAAAAGAACCUCGAACAGAGGAGUGAAAUAGUUCCUGAAACCCUGCGUCUACAAGCAGUGGAAGCAAUGCUGAUCUUCGGAUCACGUGCGACCGCGUGCCUUUUGCAUAAUGAGCCAACGAGUUGUCUGUCGGUGGCAGGUUAAGUUUAUAACGAAGCCACAGCGAAAGCGAGUUCGAAAUGAGCGUUCAGUCCCCGGCAACAGACCCGAAACCGAGUGAUCUACCCCUGUCCAGGUUGAAGCCUGGGUAAGACCAGGUGGAAGACCGAACCGUUGAGCCUUAAAACGUUCUCGGAUGAGGUGGGGGUAGGAGUGAAAGGCUAAUCAAACUCGGAGAUAGCUGGUUCUCCCCGAAAUAUAUUGAGGUAUAGCCUCGUGAUAGACCGCCGGAGGUAGAGCACUGGAUGGACUAGGGCCCUCACCAGGGUACCAAACCCAACCAAACUACGAAUACCGGUGAGUUGUUUCACGGGAGUCAGACAGCGGGAGCUAACUUUCGUUGUCGAAAGGGAAACAACCCAGACCAUCAGCUAAGGCCCCCAAGUCAUGACUAAGUGGGAAAGGAAGUGGGAGCGCCCAGACAACCAGGAGGUUGGCUUAGAAGCAGCCACCCUUUAAAGAAAGCGUAACAGCUCACUGGUCGAGCGAGCCUGCACCGAAAAUUUAACGGGGCUCAAGUCAUGCGCCGAAGCUAUGGGAUUUAUAUUUAUAUAAAUCGGUAGGGGAGCGUUCCCUGUGCAGUGAAGCUGAAUCGAAAGGGUCAGUGGAGCGCAGGGAAGUGAGGAUGUUGGCAUAAGUAACGAAAAUGUGGGCGAGAAACCCACACGCCGAAAGCCCAAGGUUUCCCGGGCCAUGUUAUUCAGCCCGGGGUUAGUCGGCACCUAAGACGAGGCCGAAAGGCGUAGUCGACGGAAAACCGGUUCAUAUUCCGGUACUUGCAUGUGCGCGUGAUGGAGGGACGCAGGAGGAUAGGCCGGCCUGGUGAUGGAUAUCCAGGUUCAAGGCCGUAGGCGGAAGUCCCAGGUAAAUCCGGGACUUUAUCUAACGCCGAGAGUCGAUGACGAGAGGCUUUGCUUCGCAAAGCGGUCGAUUCCACACUGCCAAGAAAAGCUUCUAAGCAUAGCAGAUGCAAACCGUACCCCAAACCGACACAGGUGGGCGGGUAGAGAAUACCAAGGCGCUUGAGGGAAAUCAUGUUAAGGAACUCUGCAAAAUAACUCCGUAACUUCGGAAGAAGGAGUGCCUGCAGCGGUGAAGGGACUUGCUCCUGGAGCUUAAGCGGGCCGCAGUGACCAGGCCCAGCCGACUGUUUAGCAAAAACACAGCACUCUGCUAAAUCGCAAGAUGAUGUAUAGGGUGUGACGCCUGCCCGGUGCCGGAAGGUUAAUGGGAGGGGUUAGGUCUUCGGACCGAAGCUCCGAACUGAAGCCCCGGUAAACGGCGGCCGUAACUAUAACGGUCCUAAGGUAGCGAAAUUCCUUGUCGGGU